Calidris pugnax (ruff) is the source of this 1067-nucleotide long non-coding RNA. RefSeq lists it as uncharacterized. Lineage: Eukaryota; Metazoa; Chordata; Aves; Charadriiformes; Scolopacidae. The transcript has 2 exons. The record is from RefSeq and is a predicted model, not a curated record.
CCUCCCCAGCCUGGCAUAAGAAAGGCUCUCCACUGGCCACGCCAACAACAAUGUGGAAGUGUCAUUCCCCUUCCUGAGUCCCCACCAUGUCCUGAAUGAGGGAGGAUGAGCAAUAAGCCUCUACACUUCAUUUCGGCAGUAAUCCACGGUGUAGCUCUCCCAGUGCAGCUCUCCCGCCUCCCUCCCUUUCCCUCUGAGCCAAGCUGGAGUGACAAGCCUGGGUGGGGAGAGCCUGAACAAUGAACAUGGCCAAAAUGUGGAAACUUCCCUAGGCGCUCAGCAGGGGGGGAAAAAAAAAACAACAAAACAGAAGGAAGAAAAAGGCAAAAAAAGAGAAAAGCUCUGAUCAGACUAUGCAAGCAGUAAAGCAGCAUCAUCCCACUAUGAAACAGAAGUUUUCCACUCCCUGACAGAGAGAGGUUUUAAUUAGGGUCUCCCAAUGCUAAUUGCUCUUGAUUUCUCCAAUGGUUUUAUUUAAGGCACCCAAUUUAAACAACCACGCAAGCAAACCUGUAGCUGGCUCCACAGCAUAUUAUUUUAGCUCUCAGCAAGCACCCCAAGAAGGAUUAGGAUUGGUAAUAAAACCCAAUCGAUACUUUGCCCCUUCUCUUCCUUCAGAUCAAAGGCACAGAGCAGGAGGAAGCGCCCCAACCCAUCCUUACUGGGGGAGAAAGGAGACAGGAGGGCAGGAAACAAGAAGACAAUGCGCCAUCAAAGCUGCCGCAAGGUGUUGGAUCAAUGACAACAUCUGCAUGAGGGUCUGGGCUACAAUAGAAGCUGUUACCAUGGGAACGGGUGCAAAAGCAUCAGACGGGAGGGAGAAGGCGAUGAUGAAAGGUGGGAAAGCGGGAGAGAGUAUUUUUAGAUCGCUUAGGAGGAACGCUACACAAUGACAUCAUCCUAUCUCAUUAUUUGCAUCCGUGCUGUAUAACGCAUUGUGGCGUCUGCCCCAGGCUGUUAAAUUGGAAAAUGUUAUUAUGGAUGUGAAUUAUAAAUGCUGUGGUGAGACUUGAGCUUGAGAGUUAUUAGACAUCACUAUUCUGUAAUAAAGGAGAGCAUUUAAUACA